UCCAGGAACGGAUCGGAUCCCACAGCUGGGGCUUCCUCUGGCACACAUGCCUGGAGCUGAGGUGCUGGACCCUUCCCCCCGCCACCUUGGGCCCAGGAAUCCCCAGGACUCUGACUACAGAAGGCAGUACCAAAACUCAACUGUGGGCCUCUUUGAGAAUCAUAAAGUAAAAAUAUUAGAGCUAAAUGUUGAUUCUGGUCUUUGGGGACAAUGACUGCUUCUUUUAAAAACCUCACUGUUUGCAGCAAAUCUGUUCAUCUUAUUUCCCCAGGAAGCAUUUGGCCUAAAACAAAACACAACACCAAGUCAAAACUAUCGCCGGCAGCUACUGCCACUCUGUGUGACCCAGGCCCAUCUCUGAGCUUCGGGUCUGUCAUUGCCAGAAGAGGAGACACGUGCAGCCCCACACACCUCACACGGGCGGGCGGCAGGGGCAGAGCCGGCCUUGGCCUGUGCAGCUUCUCCAGCCCUGGACACCAGCUUCUGUCCAAGGCUGCGGAGGGGCUGCUGCAUACACAGCCAACUCAAGAGGCCAGUCUCCAGGAGGCUCCGAUGGCUGCUGCACCAGGUUCCCAGGCACGUGAGGCUGGGUGUCCCCCUUGUCCCAGAGGCUCCGUGGUGCCAGGUUGCUUACCCAAGGUCACAAGAUUUUACCAAUAAAAUUUAAAACAACAGCAGAUAAGCGCGUCUACACCCAUCUUCCCACUCAGCUCGUGCAUUUCCCACGAAGGAGGAGUGUUGUUACCGCCUACGGUUUUCAAAUAAGGAAAGUAAACCUGAGGGUGAGCCCCUGCCAAGGGCACGAGGCCAGUGAAUGCUGAGCCACUUCAACACCAGGUAAUGUGGCUGGGAGCAUACACCCGUCACCACGCGCCCCCCACCAUCCAGCGAUGCAGCGCACACCAGGAGGGGGUCCUAGCCGCUUCCUGAUGUUGUGAUGAGAGGCAGAGCAAAGCCGGACACUGGGCUUCUGCUCUUCUUUCUGGAACAAGCAUGUUGGAGACGUGCCGCAGCUCAGGCUGACCCUGCCCCCGUGAUGUGCAGUGAACGCAGGCCUUUGCACCCAGCGUCGUGCCCGAGGCUGCCAGCCCUGCAGGCUCCGGAGCAUCUCCUGUCCCGGGCGAUGCCGCAAAGCCCUGCGGCUCUGCUGUCCCUUGGUGGCCCCACUGCUGUCCUUUCCUCACCCCCAUCUGGUCUGUGAAGGACGAGGCAGAGGACAGCUCAUCCCGGCCCCAGGCUGGGCUUCUCCCGGUGGUUUGGGGCCAGGCGUCGUCUCCAAAGGGAGGCCCAGCACCAGCUCCUUUUUAUCCAAAUGAAGAAGUCUCAAAAAGCCAGGAAGGCUCGGUUCCCCAGGGAGCUGGGUGUAAGGCAGGGCGUCCCACCAGGGAAGGGCAUUCUGUGGGCAGAGAUCUUAAGGAGCAGCUGGGCACACUGGUGGCCCCUGCAGGGCCAGGAGGCAAUGGAAUCCGUGGGACAGGGGACUGGACUAUGUCCUAAAGGACAGGAGGGAACCACUGGCCCCACAGGCAGAGCAAGGUAAGAAACACACCAGCCACAGGCUGCAGGCGGCAGCACGGGAGGGCUCUAAGCCGAGCCCACGCAUGCAUUUCCCAUCUGCACAGGCCAGAGAGCCCUGACAUGUCACCUGCCUGGCCACUCCACAGAAGCGUGCACACAUGGGAGGGCCCCACCUGCCACCCAGGCCACCAGCCCCUCUUAGGAGCUCCAAGCCCCACCUCCAUGCCGCAUGGGCUCCAGGCUGACUAGGCUGUCCUCAUCACAUUCCACAGCAAAGUCACUCCAGCACCUCCAGUCUCAGCUCAGCCUCAGACACUGGGCUGACUAGGGCCACCUGCAGCUGGCGGCAGGACAGAGGGGCCGGGCAAAGGUAGGCAUGGAUGCCAACAGCCCUCAGGGCCGGCACACCAACUCAGUCACGGCCAUGCGGUGGCCCCUGGCUCUUCCCUCUUCCAGCCUUGUCUGUCACCUUUAAAGAGAUGACUUGAGGACACCGGGUCACCCUGUCUCUUCCCCUUCCCUCCUCCCUGCUCCAACAGCUCAACUCUCAGCACAAGCAUCCCUCUGAUGCCAGAGGCUGGGGACUUACUGGCUUUGCAGCCACUGCUUCCAGGUGUCAGACCUUUCGGAGACCCCACUGUCUCUGGCCACUGCCCCCAGCCUGUUCCAGUGGGCAGCCCUGCAAGCCUCAGUUCUAGGUCUCUCUGAACUCAGAGACCUCAGUGACUUAGAGUUGUCAUUGGCCCUCAAGGUGACUGACACCUUCAGGUCAGAUAAGGCUACCUGUGACAGAGAUUUUGAAAGUGGCAUUCUUCACUGUAGAAAACAGCAGGGCGGUUCCUCAAAAUCACACACAAGGCCGGGCUUAGCCUAAUCCCAGCACUUUGCGGGGCUGAGGCGGGAGGAUCACUUGAGCCCAGAAGUUCAUGACCAGCCUGAACAACAUGGCAAGACCCUGUCUCUACAAAUAAUUUAAAAAUUAGGCAGGUGUGGUGGUACAUGCCUGCAGUCCUACUUGAGAGGGUGAGGUAGGAGGAUCGCUUGAGCCCAGGAGGUGGAGGCUGCAGCGAGCCAUGACUGUGCCACUGCACUCCAGCCUGGGUGAUACAGCGAACCCCUUAAAAAAAAAAAUUACACACAGAACCUAAUCUAGCAAUUCCACUUUUAUUGACUUGAAGAGAUCCCUGAACACCAUGUUCAUAGCAGCCUUAUUCACAUUCGCCAAGAGGUGGAGGCAACCAAAUGUCCGUCACAGUUAUGUAGAUAAACACAUUAUGCCACACAGAUGACAAGGGAUUGUUCAGCCAUGAAAGGAAGGCCGUGCCGACGCAUGCCAGAACACAGAUGAUCCCUGAUGACAUGAGGCAAAGUGAAAUACGCCAGUCGGAAAAGGACAAAUCCUGCAGGACCCACGUAUAUGAGGUCCCUAGCGCCACAGACGGGAAGCAGAAUGGGGGUGCCAGGGACUGGGGAAGGGGGAGGGGGAGUGAGUGUUGAAUGGGGACAGAGUUUCAGUCUGGCAAGAUGACAAAGUUCUGAAGGUGGCUGGUGGUGAUGGCUACACAACACUAUGAGUGGACUUAAUGCUUCCAGACACUUAAAAAGGGUUAAAAUGGUAAAUUUUAUGUUACACAUAUUGUACCACAAUAAAAAUCAAUAUGUUUUUAAAUAAUUUUGAAGUUUUAUAAAGUGACAUGUCUUACCACUCUACCCCAGUGGUUCUUAAAGUGGGGUCCCACGGCGGCCGCAUCAGCAGCACCUAGGAGGUUGUUAGAAAUGCAGAU
Long non-coding RNA from Pongo pygmaeus (Bornean orangutan), 3302 nucleotides. RefSeq lists it as uncharacterized. The transcript has 3 exons. The record is from RefSeq and is a predicted model, not a curated record. Lineage: Eukaryota; Metazoa; Chordata; Mammalia; Primates; Hominidae.